GCCUGAGUGGCUCAGUCGGUUAAGCAUCUGACUUUGGCUCAGGUCACGAUCUCACGGUUUGUGAGUUCGAGCCCCACGUCAGGCU
RNAcentral lists this transfer RNA (85 nucleotides) under Felis catus (domestic cat). It matches the Rfam family "tRNA". Rfam says of the family: Transfer RNA (tRNA) molecules are approximately 80 nucleotides in length. Their secondary structure includes four short double-helical elements and three loops (D, anti-codon, and T loops). Lineage: Eukaryota; Metazoa; Chordata; Mammalia; Carnivora; Felidae. The record is from Rfam by way of RNAcentral. RNAcentral also lists the same sequence under 3 other names.